This 404-nucleotide ribosomal RNA is filed under the name uncultured Pseudomonas sp. RNAcentral describes it as "bacterial SSU rRNA". It matches the Rfam family "Bacterial small subunit ribosomal RNA", at positions 976 to 1382 of the family's 1533-position model. Lineage: Bacteria; Pseudomonadati; Pseudomonadota; Gammaproteobacteria; Pseudomonadales; Pseudomonadaceae. The record is from RNAcentral.
AGGCCUUGACAUGCAGAGAACUUCAGAGAUGGAUUGGUGCCUUCGGGAACUCUGACACAGGUGCUGCAUGGCUGUCGUCAGCUCGUGUCGUGAGAUGUUGGGUUAAGUCCCGUAACGAGCGCAACCCUUGUCCUUAGUUACCAGCACGUUAUGGUGGGCACUCUAAGGAGACUGCCGGUGACAAACCGGAGGAAGGUGGGAUGACGUCAAGUCAUCAUGGCCCUUACGGCCUGGGCUACACACGUGCUACAAUGGUCGGUACAAAGGGUUGCCAAGCCGCGAGGUGGAGCUAAUCCCAUAAAACCGAUCGUAGUCCGGAUCGCAGUCUGCAACUCGACUGCGUGAAGUCGGAAUCGCUAGUAAUCGUGAAUCAGAAUGUCACGGUGAAUACGUUCCCGGGCCUU